ACGGGAGGCAGCAGUGGGGAAUAUUGCACAAUGGGCGAAAGCCUGAUGCAGCGACGCCGCGUGAGGGAUGACGGCCUUCGGGUUGUAAACCUCUUUCAGCAGGGACGAAGCGCAAGUGACGGUACCUGCAGAAGAAGCACCGGCUAACUACGUGCCAGCAGCCGCGGUAAUACGUAGGGUGCGAGCGUUGUCCGGAAUUAUUGGGCGUAAAGAGCUCGUAGGCGGUUUGUCGCGUCGGCCGUGAAAACUUGGGGCUUAACUCCAAGCUUGCGGUCGAUACGGGCAGACUUGAGUUCGGCAGGGGAGACUGGAAUUCCUGGUGUAGCGGUGAAAUGCGCAGAUAUCAGGAGGAACACCGGUGGCGAAGGCGGGUCUCUGGGCCGAUACUGACGCUGAGGAGCGAAAGCGUGGGGAGCGAACAGGAUUAGAUACCCUGGUA
RNAcentral lists this ribosomal RNA (439 nucleotides) under uncultured Actinomycetales bacterium. RNAcentral's name for it is "bacterial SSU rRNA". It matches the Rfam family "Bacterial small subunit ribosomal RNA", at positions 341 to 792 of the family's 1533-position model. The record is from RNAcentral. Lineage: Bacteria; Bacillati; Actinomycetota; Actinomycetes; Actinomycetales.